GACGAACGCUGGCGGCGUGCUUAACACAUGCAAGUCGAACGGAAAGGCCCUGCUUUUGUGGGGUGCUCGAGUGGCGAACGGGUGAGUAACACGUGAGUAACCUGCCCUUGACUUUGGGAUAACUUCAGGAAACUGGGGCUAAUACCGGAUAGGAGCUCCUGCUGCAUGGUGGGGGUUGGAAAGUUUCGGCGGUUGGGGAUGGACUCGCGGCUUAUCAGCUUGUUGGUGGGGUAGUGGCUUACCAAGGCUUUGACGGGUAGCCGGCCUGAGAGGGUGACCGGCCACAUUGGGACUGAGAUACGGCCCAGACUCCUACGGGAGGCAACAGUGGGGAAUAUUGCACAAUGGGCGGAAGCCUGAUGCAGCAACGCCGCGUGCGGGAAGACGGCCUUCGGGUUGUAAACCGCUUUCGCCUGUGACGAAGCGUGAGUGACGGUAAUGGGUAAAGAAGCACCGGCUAACUACGUG
Molecule: ribosomal RNA, 468 nt
Filed under: uncultured bacterium
Lineage: Bacteria
Description: partial 16S ribosomal RNA
Rfam family: Bacterial small subunit ribosomal RNA
Source: RNAcentral